AUUGAACGCUGGCGGCAUGCCUUACACAUGCAAGUCGAACGGCAGCACGGGUGCUUGCACCUGGUGGCGAGUGGCGAACGGGUGAGUAAUACAUCGGAACAUGUCCUGUAGUGGGGGAUAGCCCGGCGAAAGCCGGAUUAAUACCGCAUACGAUCUACGGAUGAAAGCGGGGGACCUUCGGGCCUCGCGCUAUAGGGUUGGCCGAUGGCUGAUUAGGUAGUUGGUGGGGUAAAGGCCUACCAAGGCGACGAUCAGUAGCUGGUCUGAGAGGACGACCAGCCACACUGGGACUGAGACACGGCCCAGACUCCUACGGGAGGCAGCAGUGGGGAAUUUUGGACAAUGGGGGAAAGCCUGAUCCAGCAAUGCCGCGUGUGUGAAGAAGGCCUUCGGGUUGUAAAGCACUUUUGUCCGGAAAGAAAUCCUUGGCCCUAAUACGGUCGGGGGAUGACGGUACCGGAAGAAUAAGCACCGGCUAACUACGUG
Molecule: ribosomal RNA, 486 nt
Filed under: uncultured bacterium
Lineage: Bacteria
Description: partial 16S ribosomal RNA
Rfam family: Bacterial small subunit ribosomal RNA
Source: RNAcentral